CCUUGAAGACGACGAGGUAGAUAGGACAGAGGUGGAAGUGCAGUAAUGUAUGGAGCUGACUGUUACUAAUCGGUCGAGGGCAUAACCAA
This 89-nucleotide non-coding RNA is filed under the name Lachnospiraceae bacterium 9_1_43BFAA. RNAcentral's name for it is "Bacterial large subunit ribosomal RNA". It matches the Rfam family "Bacterial large subunit ribosomal RNA", at positions 2836 to 2925 of the family's 2925-position model. The record is from Rfam by way of RNAcentral. Lineage: Bacteria; Bacillati; Bacillota; Clostridia; Lachnospirales; Lachnospiraceae.